This 222-nucleotide long non-coding RNA is filed under the name Elaeis guineensis (African oil palm). Its description in RNAcentral is "long non-coding RNA (EGUI_LNC009992)". The record is from RNAcentral. Lineage: Eukaryota; Viridiplantae; Streptophyta; Magnoliopsida; Arecales; Arecaceae.
GCUGCGUGAUGCAGUGAAACUAGAAAUUUGCGACUCACAAUAUCAAGAAAAGUCUUCAUCAUUCAUAGUCUAUACUGCCCCUUGUAUUUCAUCCAAAAACAUACUACCCUGGUAGACUAAAACAAGAACAAUGGCUGGGUGACACAGUGAGACUAGAAAAUUGUAUAUUGGAAUAUCAAGAAAAGUCUUCAUCAUUCACAGUCAAUACUGCACGUGUAGACC